Long non-coding RNA from Acomys russatus (golden spiny mouse), 209 nucleotides. RefSeq lists it as uncharacterized. The record is from RefSeq and is a predicted model, not a curated record. The transcript is spliced from 3 exons. NCBI's taxonomy places the organism in Eukaryota, Metazoa, Chordata, Mammalia, Rodentia, Muridae.
CUACAUUCCACAGAGCCACGGGUGCACUGUGGAGCACACUGACUACCUUCCACAGAGCCACGGGUGCACUGUGGAGCACACUGACUACCUUCCACAGAGCCACGGGUGCACUGUGGAGCACACUGACUACCUUCCACAGAGCCUCGGGUGCACUGUGGAGCACACUGACUACCCUCCACAGAGCCAUGAGUGUACUGUGGAGCAUACAC